RNAcentral lists this long non-coding RNA (323 nucleotides) under Linum usitatissimum (flax). RNAcentral describes it as "long non-coding RNA (LUSI_LNC001062)". The record is from RNAcentral. Lineage: Eukaryota; Viridiplantae; Streptophyta; Magnoliopsida; Malpighiales; Linaceae.
UCUCAUGACCCUCUUGCUUUACGAGUUCAGCAACCGGAGCUGCUAAACAGUCAGCACUCACCUUUUGCACCAGUAUGUCUUUAUCAUCCCUAUAAAAGUACUGCAAGAUGCCUAAACACAUCCUGCAUACAAUCGGUUGAACUUCUGAUUCCUUACAUGUAGAAGGAUCCGUUGUCUUCUCCUUUCCUCCACUACAUUCAAAAAGUAUCCCGUACUGGUCCAAAUGUUCAGAUUCCCCAAGAACAGAAUGCACCAUAGAUUUUGAAAUGCAUGGGCGAAAGUAGAAGUGAUCUCUGAAUCCAAACAGUCUGAGGAUGCAUCUG